UGGGGAAUAUUGCGCAAUGGGCGAAAGCCUGACGCAGCGACGCCGCGUGUGGGAUGACGGCCUUCGGGUUGUAAACCACUGUCGGGAGGGACGAAGAUCUGACGGUACCUCCAAAGGAAGCACCGGCUAACUCUGUGCCAGCAGCCGCGGUAAUACAGAGGGUGCUAGCGUUGUCCGGAAUCACUGGGCGUAAAGGGCGCGUAGGCGGCCCGGUAAGCAGGGGGUGAAAUCUUGCGGCUCAACCGCAAGGCUGCCUUCUGAACUGCCGGGCUGGAGCACGGUAGAGGCAGAUGGAAUUCCCGGUGUAGCGGUGGAAUGCGUAGAGAUCGGGAAGAACACCAGUGGCGAAGGCGGUCUGCUGGGCCGUUGCUGACGCUGAGGCGCGACAGCGUGGGGAGCAAACAGG
This 406-nucleotide ribosomal RNA is filed under the name uncultured bacterium. RNAcentral's name for it is "bacterial SSU rRNA". It matches the Rfam family "Bacterial small subunit ribosomal RNA", at positions 355 to 776 of the family's 1533-position model. The record is from RNAcentral.